Molecule: long non-coding RNA, 286 nt
Organism: Neopsephotus bourkii (Bourke's parrot)
Lineage: Eukaryota; Metazoa; Chordata; Aves; Psittaciformes; Psittacidae
Exons: 2
Source: RefSeq, a predicted model, not a curated record
ACACAAUGUUGGUCAUGAGAUGCAAAAAAACCUUUCCACAAAGCAACGUCUAAGAGCACAGUAUGAUGAAUUUACUGGAUUCACUUUUCUUCAAAAGGACCAGAAUCAACUGGAAACUCAGAAACAUGGAAGUAUCUCCAGUUAGAGAUGACUAUGACUUUCGGAAGACUCUCUUCAUGCGAAGUAUCUCUCCCAGCUUCCAAGAUGCAGAGCAUCACCGCUCCAAGGAAAGCUGCUCUUGGGAACAGUGAAAGCAGCAGAGCAGGAAUUGCUCACAGCAGAAAAA